This 562-nucleotide ribosomal RNA is filed under the name uncultured Acidithiobacillaceae bacterium. RNAcentral describes it as "bacterial SSU rRNA". It matches the Rfam family "Bacterial small subunit ribosomal RNA", at positions 1 to 569 of the family's 1533-position model. The record is from RNAcentral. Lineage: Bacteria; Pseudomonadati; Pseudomonadota; Acidithiobacillia; Acidithiobacillales; Acidithiobacillaceae.
UAGAGUUUGAUCCUGGCUCAGAUUGAACGCUGGCGGCAUGCCUAACACAUGCAAGUCGCACGCGAAAGGGGGCAACCCCGAGUAGAGUGGCGGACGGGUGAGUAACGCGUAGGAAUCUACCUCGUAGUGGGGACAACCCGGCGAAAGCCGGGCUAAUACCGCAUACGAUCCACGGAUGAAAGCAGGGGACCGCAAGGCCUUGCGCUAUGAGAUGAGCCUGCGUCGGAUUAGCUAGUUGGUGAGGUAACGGCUCACCAAGGCGACGAUCCGUAGCUGGUUUGAGAGAACGACCAGCCACACCGGAACUGAGACACGGUCCGGACUCCUACGGGAGGCAGCAGUGGGGAAUAUUGGACAAUGGGGGCAACCCUGAUCCAGCAAUGCCGCGUGUGUGAAGAAGGCCUUCGGGUUGUAAAGCACUUUCGGUGGGGACAAACAAGGCGGAGCUAACAUCUCCGUCCCUGAUGGUACCCAAAGAAGAAGCACCGGCUAACUCUGUGCCAGCAGCCGCGGUAAUACAGAGGGUGCAAGCGUUAAUCGGAAUUACUGGGCGUAAAGCGUG